Non-coding RNA from Triticum aestivum (bread wheat), 125 nucleotides. NCBI's taxonomy places the organism in Eukaryota, Viridiplantae, Streptophyta, Magnoliopsida, Poales, Poaceae. The record is from Rfam.
AAACUACUCCCUCCGUCCGGAAUUACUCGUCUGAGAAAUGCAUAAAAAUGGAUGUACCUAAAACAAAAAUACAUCUAGAUACAUCCAUUCCUUCGACAAAUAUUUUGGGACGGAGGGAGUAGUAA